ACAUGUUUAAUAAAAAUCUAAUCUGUUUAUUUAUUUUAUUUUUUAUUUUGCUUUUCUAGAUUGCCAAUCAUUCCUGUUGAACUACAUUAUUCAUUACAAUGAAUCAGAUGCAGAAUCUUACAACUAUGUUAAUUUGUUCGCCUGAUUGGGGAAAACCUGAGACUAUUUGAUCUUAUAUUGGAAUGCCUACCAAUUUUACAUAGCCUCAGGCAAUGUUUAUAUAAUUAAUCUUGAGUAAUAGAGAUGCUGUACCCCCUGGCGGUGUGACCUUGCUACCUGGAUCAUCCCACUAGGCAAGACAAGUUCAAAACUUUCCAUGCAAACACUUUCAUGGCAGUUAAUUGCUAUAAUAGGAUAUGAAUAUAAUUUUGCCUUGCCAGGGUGGCUUGGGGGGGGAGUAGGAUUUCCCUAGUACCCGGAGACCAUAUAAACAGGCCUUCAGAUUACUGUAAUAGUUUAAUUGAGGUUCAAAAAAGCAGCCCCCCCCCCCCAAUGCAACUAAAAGUGGUAGGCCUGCUCUCCAAAUCCAGCCCCCCUUGGAAGAUGUACUGUAAAGCUAGACAAUUUUACUUGUUAGUUACCCAACUUGGUGCCCUGAUGCACCCUACUUUAUUAUUUUACUCUGUCUAACAGCAGACAAUUUUACUCAUCAAGGGGUGGGCACAUGACUUUAAAGGGAAAGUAUUAAUUGGGAAUACUUUCUCUUUUAAUGGGAAACUCUUUAUCAAUAAAAGGAACAAUGCAAUUAUUCAUAGUAUUUAACUUUUCAUAUAAAGCAGAGACUGUAAGAGGAAACAUGGAUCAUUGGCUACUUUUUUUAUUUAGUAUUAAUUUUCAUGACAACAUGUGGGGUCAACUAUAAAGGAAACAG
Non-coding RNA from Paramuricea clavata, 871 nucleotides. The record is from the annotation of a GenBank genome assembly. Lineage: Eukaryota; Metazoa; Cnidaria; Anthozoa; Malacalcyonacea; Plexauridae.